RNAcentral lists this ribosomal RNA (402 nucleotides) under bacterium. RNAcentral describes it as "partial 16S ribosomal RNA". It matches the Rfam family "Bacterial small subunit ribosomal RNA", at positions 355 to 776 of the family's 1533-position model. The record is from RNAcentral.
UGGGGAAUUUUGCACAAUGGGGGAAACCCUGAUGCAGCGACGCCGCGUGAUUUAGAAGGCCUUCGGGUUGUAAAAAUCUUUUCUAUGGGAAGAAAAUGACAGUACCAUAGGAAUAAGGACCGGCUAAUUACGUGCCAGCAGCCGCGGUAAUACGUAAGGUCCGAGCGUUGUCCGGAAUCAUUGGGCGUAAAGGGUACGUAGGCGGGUAAGCAAGUUAGAAGUGAAAUCCUAUAGCUCAACUAUAGUAAGCUUUUAAAACUGCUCAUCUUGAGGUAUGGAAGGGAAAGUGGAAUUCGUAGUGUAGCGGUGAAAUGCGCAGAUAUUAGGAGGAAUACCGGUGGCGAAGGCGACUUUCUGGCCAUAACCUGACGCUGAGGUACGAAAGCGUGGGUAGCAAACAGG